ACACUGGGGCCCAUGGCUUUGGUGUCUAGAAAAGAAUGACAAUAAGGUCAGUACAGGGCAGGCUGGUCAGACCACCUUGAUGAAAAAAAAGACAAGAUGGGGCUUUCAUCACAAAAUGAGCACCACCCUUAGACUGUGCCCGUUUUCUUUUCUGAGAGAGUCACUUUUGUCUUAUCAGACCCAAUGUAGGAGUGGCAAAAAUGUGGAUCAAAAACGUUACAGACAGAGUCUAUGGCACAGGCAGGGAGGGCCGGGUGCAAAAACAACACAAAACAAAUGAACAAAAGGGAACCUGCAGCAAAAAUGAGGAGGGUCCCAGUGAGCUCCAAAUGCUUCCAGAGGGACCAGGAGUUCAAAAGGAGAGUUCUGGUCUCCCCUCCUCUCCCUGCUCUCUCCUUCCUCCCCAGCUCCACUUGGUGACCUGGGCAAGCAGAAGGAAGGGCUGCAGAGCGCCCGCUGGGGCAGCUACUGCCCUCAGGACACAGCAGAAGGUUUACCUGGAAAAGGCCCAGGGGAGACAAUGUUACAAAACCUGAUAAAUGUGCUGCACUUUGCUCGCAAACCCAAAGUCACCAGGGUGCAUGCUUUAGCUUCAUUAAUUGAAUAAACUAUACAGAAAUUACUGCCAUAAACAUUGAAAAGCACCCCAGAAACCGCUGUUCAAGAAGUUUACCUACACAAAUUAAGUCCUUGAGCAUAUGAUGCAAAAUAUUUACCUAAUUACAAGGGCGAGAGUCAAAAUGUUUAGUCACUAGUAAGUCUUGCCUACAGUUAAUCAGAAUGAGUCAUGAGUUCAGUAGAAUGGGCAUGAACCAUCAGAACAGGAAUCAAACAUAAGAACGGGAACCAAACAUCAGAACAAGCACCAACCAUCAGAACAGGAAUCAAACAUAAGAACGGGAACCAAACAUCAGAACAGGCACCAACCAUCAGAACAGGGGGUACCAACCAUCAGAACAGGAACCAACCAUCAGAACAGAAACCAACCAUCAGAAUAGGAAUCAACCAUCAGAACAGGACACCAACCAUCAGAACAGGAACCAACCAUCAGAACAGGACACCAAUCAUCAGAACAGGAACCAACCAUCAGAACAGGAACCAACCAUCAGAACAGGAACCAACCAUCAGAACAGAAACCAACCAUCAGAACAGAAACCAACCAUUAGAACAGGCACCAACCAUCAGAACAGGCACCAAUCAUCAGAAUGGGAACCAACCAUUGUAAUGGGCAUCAAGCAUCAGAAUAGGAACCAAACAUCAGAACAGGGCACCAAGCAUUAGAGUGGGCACCAAUGAUCAGAACAGGAACCAACCAUC
RNAcentral lists this long non-coding RNA (1317 nucleotides) under Homo sapiens (human). RNAcentral describes it as "HSALNT0117291". Lineage: Eukaryota; Metazoa; Chordata; Mammalia; Primates; Hominidae. The record is from RNAcentral.